CUCAAAGGCUACUAGCGCUGCCAGCGGGCAAACAGUUCAGACAUUUAAAAUAUGGGCCUGGGUUUUAAGUGUCCAUGGUCCAGAUUUUAUGCAUUUAUGCUGUGUGGCUGAAAUCCAGACAAACUUCUGUGUCAUUCAGAGUUAAAUCUUGUGAAGAAUGUCCUUAUUUUGCCGUCAGAAUAAACACAGUCAUAUAGUUUUGUCCCAUUUUGUAGAGGGCCAUUGAGACUUUAGUAAA
Molecule: non-coding RNA, 238 nt
Organism: Pelobates cultripes (western spadefoot toad)
Lineage: Eukaryota; Metazoa; Chordata; Amphibia; Anura; Pelobatidae
Source: the annotation of a GenBank genome assembly